UACAGGGGGUGCAAACGUUGCUCGGAAUCAUUGGGCGUAAAGCGCACGUAGGCGGUUCGUUAUGUCGGAUGUGAAAGCCCUUGGCUUAACCGAGGAAGUGCAUCCGAAACUGGCGAGCUAGAGUACGAAAGAGGAUCGCGGAAUUCCCGGUGUAGAGGUGAAAUUCGUAGAUAUCGGGAGGAACACCGGUGGCGAAGGCGGCGAUCUGGGUCGAUACUGACGCUGAGGUGCGAAAGCUAGGGGAGCAAACAGG
This 253-nucleotide ribosomal RNA is filed under the name uncultured bacterium. RNAcentral's name for it is "partial 16S ribosomal RNA". It matches the Rfam family "Bacterial small subunit ribosomal RNA", at positions 524 to 776 of the family's 1533-position model. The record is from RNAcentral.